UGUCUGCCAACUGUUGUCGCGUCGGAGAUGCCGGAACGUUCCCUAUCAAAUGGGUUCAAGAAAUAAUGAGUGGGAACGAAGUUGCGGAGUGAGCCCACGGAGACAAAUUUAUGCAACGCUUUCGUGCCUUUUGCUUCCAAAUCGAUCAUUUUUCGAAAACACUUUCUUCCUUUGAAGCGUUUCUGCCUCCUUCCUCCGGUCCCCCUCUCUAUAAAUUUCAAGAGAGCGAGGAGCGCGAAGGAGAGAGAAUAGGGGUCGGUCGACAGAUCCGGAGAGGGAGGGAUUCUUCCGGUGGAGUUUCUCGUUGCGCAGUGGGGGUGAAGUCCACCGUCCCCCUCCGCUGCAGCAGCGGCGGCCCCCCCCUCUGUCGGUGCAGGCGCUGGCUACUCGAUCCGAGAGCUUCCGCACCCGCCAGGCCGGCCGCCGCAGUGAGGAAUUCCGUUUCGGUAGUGGUCAGACUGACAUAAGCGUGUUUCCUGCUGUCCGUAGCUCACGGAAGGGACAUUAAAUAAUGGACUCCAGAAGCUGUUUAAGUAAAACUAAUGGUUGGAGUAAUUGAUGAGGUGAUAACUCCCGCUGCUCUUGCGGUUCCUGAGACAUCCAACCUUGAAGAUGGUGCAAGGUUCUGAAUACUGGACCAUGUCUUCCGGUUGAAACAAAAUACCAUAGACUUCCAGUCGUCGACGGUGAUGGUAAAUUGGUUGGGAUUAUUACAAGGGGAUUUCGUCGUUAGAGCAGCGCCGCAAAUAAAGCAUGAAAACAAGAAACAUUCUCGAGUCUAAGAUGGAAAUCACGUGUAAGUCACUAUCACUAUUUACGAGUUCAUACUAGCGGCUGAUAUCUUACGCAUCCUUCGUCUCAGCCAUCGCAGAAAUUAUCCUAUGUGACAUAGGAACCCCAUAACACCGGCAUCACUAGCUUCAGAUACCAUAUUCAUGUUCUCUAGGUCUUCGACCAUGCCUUCUCUUCAUUAGUUCCAAGAGUCACCUUAAUAUAUUUAAUGUUUUCUGCACCGGACUCAAAUAGAAAAAAGUCAUGUCAGCUACCUACCGAAUGAUGAGUGAAGAGAGAUGCAUCUUAGGCUGCUAAGUGGACAAGAAUCGGGUACAGCUGGUGAAAGGGUAAAUCUUGGCGGUAAUUGAGUGGUGUUAACUACUGAGUACUGCCACUGGUACUCAAAAUGGGGGCAGCUGUUUCUGUGAUCAAUGCAUUAUGUUUAUGCUUCUCAAUCGUGUUUGCAAUUGCCACUGGUACUCAAAUGGGGGCAGCUGUCUCUGACCAAUCUUUUAUAUGAAUGCUUCACGGCUUCCACAUGUCAGAGGGGGAGAGAGAGAGAGAGUGUGUGUGUGUGCGAGAUGUCCAAGUCAAACCCUACUUUGCUCCAACUCUUGUUUUACGUUUGCCUAGAACUCCCUGUCUUACACACAAGUUGUGAUCAGUGUCAUACGUUGGUAAUGUAAUUAUCACAGCAUCCGUUUAUUUGA
Long non-coding RNA from Musa acuminata AAA Group (dessert banana), 1484 nucleotides. RefSeq lists it as uncharacterized. The transcript has 4 exons. Lineage: Eukaryota; Viridiplantae; Streptophyta; Magnoliopsida; Zingiberales; Musaceae. The record is from RefSeq and is a predicted model, not a curated record.